Non-coding RNA from Anarrhichthys ocellatus (wolf-eel), 304 nucleotides. RefSeq annotates it as small Cajal body-specific RNA 2. The record is from RefSeq and is a predicted model, not a curated record. The transcript has a single exon. NCBI's taxonomy places the organism in Eukaryota, Metazoa, Chordata, Actinopteri, Perciformes, Anarhichadidae.
GUGCUUGUGUGAGCGUGUGGUCGAGUGAAUGAGGGAUGAUUGUGUGUGAGUGUGUAUUUCUGUAAAAAUCUACACAGUGAUCUUAUUUGAUCUGGUCUGAGUUUGGCUCUGCUCAGAUCAGAAAUGAUAGGAAAAACGCUCGCGAGCCUCCAUGGCGAUGAACAGCGGGCGAGAUGUUUAGGGCCUCCACGCUUCAUGUUGUGGUCAGAGGUGAUGAAUUGAUCAGAUAUACUAGUUCUGGUUGUGUUUGGGUUCAUCUCAAGCGUCACAAUGGACAAUGAGUAUAGAGGCGAUUCUGAUCUAA